Molecule: transfer RNA, 72 nt
Filed under: Bacteroidales bacterium
Lineage: Bacteria; Pseudomonadati; Bacteroidota; Bacteroidia; Bacteroidales
Also listed under: 1 other name
Description: tRNA-Arg
Rfam family: tRNA
About the family: Transfer RNA (tRNA) molecules are approximately 80 nucleotides in length.
Source: RNAcentral
GCCCCUGUAGUUUAAUGGAUAAAAUAGGAGAUUCCGGUUCUCCGGAUAACGGUUCGAUUCCGUUCGGGGGUA